AGGCUUGUAUGAAUGGUUGGACAAAAAGUAAGCUGUCUCAAUUAUAAUAAUUGAAUUUAACUUUUAAGUGAAAAGGCUUAAAUAAAUUAAGGGGACGAUAAGACCCUAUAAAGCUUGACAAUAAUUUAAUUAUACUAUCAAUUGUUAGUAUAACUUGGUUUUAAUUAAUAUUUGUUGCGUUGGGGCGACGAGAAUAUAAUAGGUAACUGUUCUUAAAUAUUUAAUAACAAAUAUAAUUGGAAAUUAGUAUGAUCCUCUAUUAGCGAUUAAAAGAUUAAGUUACUUUAGGGAUAACAGCGUAAUCU
Molecule: ribosomal RNA, 305 nt
Filed under: Penaeus indicus
Lineage: Eukaryota; Metazoa; Arthropoda; Malacostraca; Decapoda; Penaeidae
Description: partial 16S ribosomal RNA
Source: RNAcentral